CCUACGGGAGGCUGCAGUGGGGAAUAUUGCACAAUGGGCGCAAGCCUGAUGCAGCCAUGCCGCGUGUGUGAAGAAGGCCUUCGGGUUGUAAAGCACUUUCAGCGGGGAGGAAGGCGUUAAGGUUAAUAACCUUGUCGAUUGACGUUACCCGCGGAAGAAGCACCGGCUAACUCCGUGCCAGCAGCCGCGGUAAUACGGAGGGUGCAAGCGUUAAUCGGAAUUACUGGGCGUAAAGCGCACGCAGGCGGUCUGUCAAGUCGGAUGUGAAAUCCCCGGGCUCAACCUGGGAACUGCAUUCGAAACUGGCAGGCGAGAGUCUUGUAGAGGGGGGUAGAAUUCCAGGUGUAGCGGUGAAAUGCGUAGAGAUCUGGAGGAAUACCGGUGGCGAAGGCGGCCCCCUGGACAAAGACUGACGCUCAGGUGCGAAAGCGUGGGGAGCAAAGAGGAUUAGAUACCCCGGUAGUC
This 465-nucleotide ribosomal RNA is filed under the name uncultured Klebsiella sp. RNAcentral describes it as "bacterial SSU rRNA". It matches the Rfam family "Bacterial small subunit ribosomal RNA", at positions 338 to 795 of the family's 1533-position model. Lineage: Bacteria; Pseudomonadati; Pseudomonadota; Gammaproteobacteria; Enterobacterales; Enterobacteriaceae. The record is from RNAcentral.